UUCAGCAUAUUGCACAGUCUACUAGUAUUUCGUGACUUGAGGUUCAACAGCAUUUUGAAGUUCUAUGCAGUUGACGCCACGUUACAUCAAAAAUGAAGGGUGUUGUGAUUCUACUUCUUGUGUGUGUAUUGGCUGUUAAUGCCGCUCCAUUGGAGGAAAGAGCAGUUAAAGAUUGCACCACGAUUGUAAAUUGCUUCGUCCACCCUUGCACCUUCGCCAAGUGCUCUAUUCCCGGCGCAGUUUGCAGACAAGGGUGCUUCUGCAAUCCGAUCUGGGAAGUGAACGGCAUGGAAGUGCAAUGUUAAACAUUCAACCAAAUGCAUGACUCUUGAACCAUUUAUUGUGUAUUAAUACAAUAAUAAAGAAUUUCCGAA
Molecule: long non-coding RNA, 374 nt
Filed under: Lingula anatina
Lineage: Eukaryota; Metazoa; Brachiopoda; Lingulata; Lingulida; Lingulidae
Description: uncharacterized LOC106178103
Source: RNAcentral